UUGGAAGAUCAGGGCCUGUCAGGAGGUA
This 28-nucleotide non-coding RNA is filed under the name Homo sapiens (human). Lineage: Eukaryota; Metazoa; Chordata; Mammalia; Primates; Hominidae. The record is from RNAcentral.